This 228-nucleotide long non-coding RNA is filed under the name Chrysolophus pictus (golden pheasant). RNAcentral describes it as "lncRNA (ENSCPIG00010009687.1)". Lineage: Eukaryota; Metazoa; Chordata; Aves; Galliformes; Phasianidae. The record is from RNAcentral.
CUAUGGGAUGCAUCUGCGUAAAGGAAGAAUUCGGCUUCUAAGAUGGGUAAUAAGCAGACAAUAUUCACUGACGAGCAGCUGGAUGCCUACCAGGAUUGCACGUUCUUCACUAGGAAAGAAAUCCUUCGGUUGCAUGGCCGGUACCAUGAAAUGGCACCAAACGUUGUGCCCAUGGACUAUACAAAGGAUCCUGAUGUUAAACUACCUAUGCAGCUUAUAAUAAACAUG